UAAAUAGUGUAUUACCACCUAAUAAUUUGUGCCAAGACACGCUAUGAGUCUCUCUCAUAUUUAUUGUGAGGCUCACAGUGGCAUCUUAAAUAGGGUAGGAAUGUGGUUACCCUUGUUGCCAAAAACUUCCAAUCUGAAUCUUCCACUUUGUCUAUGUGCUGCGGCUGCACUAGCUAGGUGUGAACGACGACUAUAGUCCUUCCUUCAUUAUUCAAGUAUAUACCAAGCUUGAUUGUGUUUGUUCACGUUGGGCUUAACAAAGCGUUGCUUACAGAGUUUAUUGGCAUUCUGUCCACCUCCUCCGAUCUUCAUUCUUUUUGACAUCAAAAUUCUUGGGAGGUGGACAUACUGCCAACAGAGUUCUGUUAGCUUCUCUUUGUAAAAACUCUUCGUGAUAUAUACAUGUAUUUUUAUAUUUAUCUCCGAUAUCCUUCCUUCCCUUAAUUAAGGGUUUCAAGAAGGUAAUGAUGAUGAUAUCGAUUACAUCUCUCCCUUGGAGAGGGGUUGAAUGUUUUUCUGUUUCUCUUUCAUCAUAACCAAAUGAAGUUUCAUGGUUUGGAUCUGCACUUUAAUUUUUGCAUAUGUAGCUCAAGUUUUUUUUUUUUAAAUAAUUCCCUUACAUGAAAGUAGUAGAUUUCAGUUUGUGACGGGUUCAUGCACGAUUGCCACAGAUUGUGUCACUAUAAAUUUGUAAUUUAAAAAUAUGGUUGAGUUAGUCUAGUUUUUUUUUAUUGAAAAAUCAGUUAAAAUCUAUUUAAAAAAAAAAUUGAUCUGAUAUUCAAAAUCUUUUUUAACAGGGAAUGAGAAUGGCCGAAUGGAUUGUACUUAGUAGUUAGCAUUAAUUUAAGGGGUGACCUUUCCAUUUACCUAAUAAGUUUAUACGCUACUCCACUACUUCCCUCUGAAUGUAAGUGUAGCCUCAUCAUUAGGAUCUGACAUUUAUCUCUUAUUUUCAAUGCAACACAACCAACCACUCUCUUCCCGUGGCGCGUGCAUGCUCUUUGCUUAAUUUUCAUUAAUUUUCAUAUGAAUAUGAGGGAACAGCUAGUAGCUAGCUAGUAAGUAUAGUCACGGUCUAUUAACAAUUAUUUGCAUUAUAUUUUGCAGUAAUAAUCCUGAUAUAUGUUGUACUAGUCAAAAUCUCUUUAAUUUGGUUCAAGUGUACGUACAAACCCCACCACACAGAGUGCAAAGGAAUUAAGCCUAUCUUAGAGGCUUAUAUUAAUUCUGGGGGGACCAUUCUAUUGUCUUUAUUGUAGCCAUAAGGCACAGAUUUGUUUUGACUCUGAAGUUGUAGACCUUCCCUUACCUUUCUUUUGCACACAGCGAAAUUAGCAAACUUGCAACUACCUCAUUUACUAUUGAAAAAUCUCACAGCGAAAUAAUGUGGUAGAAAAAGAAAAGGAAAAUAGAAUAAGAAAAAAAAAAGAGAAAAUAGGAGUAGUACUACUUGAAAGUUGAAAACCCCAAAUUGAUACAUGUGAACCUUAUUACCCUUCCAUGUGUUCACAAAUUUUGAUGGGUCUUAAUUUCAUAGUAGCCUUUGAACUUUGAAGAUGCCAAAUUAAAUAAGUAGAUAUAGCUAACUAGCUAGGCAUUUAUCCAACAAAGUGGACCAAGGAAAGAAUGAAAUUUUGCAUGUAGUUACAGUAUAUUAUCCAUUCUCGUUCCACCCUGAUGUAAUCAUUAGUCUAAGUCCUUUUUUCUUGAGUGUUUGGCUUUGGACAUUGGUGGUAAUGAUGAAGCUCCCACAUUACAGUCAAACAAAACAACCUUUUGCCACAAACCUAUAACAUGAAAUGAAGCAUUGAGGACGAAUGGGUGGAUGCAUGCUUUCCUUAGGAUAUUUUGGAUAUUUAAUAUAUAGUUAAUGAUGCUGCUUUUUUUUGUUCAUUAUUUCAAUUUUUUAAUUUUUUUUUAGAACCUGUGUUUUAAUUUCCUUAUUUAUAUAUAAAAAGAAAAGUUAUGCAUAGGAAUGGAUGUAUGAUGAUCACUAUGCAUAUUGCAAAAUUAGAAUCUUAUCGUCAAAAUUACCUCAAGAAAAGGAACUAAUUAAUAUCCAAGUUUCAUGGGAAUUAAUUAUGCAUAAAGGAAUGGAUGUAUAUCACUGUGCGUAAGUACAUUACAAGAAAAUAGGUAUGUGGCCAUGCUUUUUUUUUUACUAUGUUUUUAUAAUUUUAUAUUUUCUUUUUUUAUUCU
Long non-coding RNA from Arachis ipaensis, 2199 nucleotides. RefSeq lists it as uncharacterized. The record is from RefSeq and is a predicted model, not a curated record. NCBI's taxonomy places the organism in Eukaryota, Viridiplantae, Streptophyta, Magnoliopsida, Fabales, Fabaceae.